CCACUUGAUGGGGUAAGGCUCCCAGUAGACGACUGGGUUGAUAGGCCGGAUCUGGAAGCACGGUAACGUGUGGAGGUGACCGGUACUAAUAGGCCGAGGGCUUGUCCUC
This 109-nucleotide non-coding RNA is filed under the name Streptomyces sp. Amel2xC10. RNAcentral's name for it is "Bacterial large subunit ribosomal RNA". It matches the Rfam family "Bacterial large subunit ribosomal RNA", at positions 2815 to 2925 of the family's 2925-position model. The record is from Rfam by way of RNAcentral. Lineage: Bacteria; Bacillati; Actinomycetota; Actinomycetes; Kitasatosporales; Streptomycetaceae.